UGCAGAUGCUGACAUCUUUAGGGUCUUAAAGUGUCUUUAGAAAGGAAAAAGUACACUGGGAUGAGAUGACAGUGACAUGAAAUGUCGGUGGUUGUUGGGUGAAUGGAGGUGUAAUAAAUUGGAUGAAUGUGGGAUUUAGAUUUUUAAAUAUUGAUUUGUAAUUGUUUUUCUCAUAACUGUUCAUCUUACAAGAAUGUCAGGUGUGCAUGUUUGUUCCCAGACGUUGAACCGAGACAUUACUUAAGAAAGAAUUGUAUUCCGUCAUCUCCCAAACUGUAGUCGCUGUCGACACUUGUCCAAGUUGCUUUGUCAAAUUCUAGUGUCACCCUGCAGCAGUGUACAGCUCUGCAAGGCUUUGUACUGGGCACACAUAUUUUCUACAGACAAACUGUAGGUUAAGCGUUUGGCGUUAGUGUUUUUCUGGUCCCCCUGUUAUGCUUUGGAAGAAUUUAAAUUCUGUUUUGCUGGUUGAUGCUUCUUUUACCAAGAGGGAACAUUUAACCUUGUUUGACUGAAGUGAUACAAGCAGAAAGGGGGAGAGGAAAUGUAGGCGAGAGGCGUUAAGAGGGAGGAUGAGGAAAAGACACAUCGGCAAAACAGGGAUUAAUGAAUUGUUUCAGGGGAAAUCUAGAAAAAGGUAAGACAAUGAUUCAGUUCACUUGAGGGAAAUGGAAUACUUCAUAAUCAUUUGAUUCUAUUGCAUGUUUAAAAUAAAGGGUAGCAUGUUAGUAUUCCACUAACCAUAAAGGUGGGGGACUUGUAUGGGACAGAAUUUGUAACCAAUGGCAUAUUAUCCUGACAUUUAGUUCCUUCUAUAGUGAGUAAGAUCGACAACUGCGCCUUUUCUGAGGCAAAAAUUAGUAGUGGGUUGCUAUUGAGCCCCCUGGCACACUUUCCCCCCUUAAACAAACUGCUAUUUCUAUGCUGGAGUAUUAUGGAGCCAAAUCCAGGUCAAAGGUUUUGAUCAUUUGACAAAUAAAUGUGAACCUGAAAGUUUAAGUUUUGGUCUUGAACAUAAAAAAAUACAACAAUGUAUUCAAAAUAAAAAUGAGUGGACGAAAAGUAUUUUUGGGUUGAAUAUAGUUUUUUUGAAUAAAAUAUUUUUUUCAAUCUUCACAUAUAAUUAUUUUUUGAUAUUCGUUUUAAUUUUGAAUACAUUGUUGUAUUUUUCAAUGUUCAACAACAAAGCAACAGGUUCACAUUAGUUUUUUCUGGAUUUGGCUCCAUAAAUAGGCUUUGUACUGACGUUUGUAUACAGAAAACCAUCUGUAAAGUUUGAAGUUAUAUUUACCAAAUGUUCUGUGCUCACAGGCAGUAGGAACAGGACCAGGACUCUAUUCUCCGUCACACUGGAAGUUUUACUCAACACGGCGACAUCCCAGUGGCUCUUUAUAAUCCCCCUAAUGCUUUGCUUCCUGAACCAGCGGAGACUGGCAGCUCGAGUGGCUUGCUGUCAUGUGGCGCUCCGUUGCAGCGUUAUUGCGCCAAACUGCUUUGGCCCGGGAUAUUUUUGGCUUCCACCUUGUCUUAAUCCUGUUGCGAUUCUCCAAUGGAUUAUUCAUGCUUCCUCUCUCCUCUCCCAUCUUCCCCCGUCCUAUUCUCCAGUGCACCGCCCUUCAGCGACACCACCCCCAUAUAUAUAUAUAUAUAUAUAUACACAUAAGCUGCUGGGGGUGGUGUUGCUGAAGGGCUGUGUAUAUCAUUUGUAUAUCAGUUGUAUAUCAUUUAUGAAUUUAUUAGGUUGUAUAUUACAUCUGCAGUUCUCCUCAUACUCCACAAACAUGCAAAUGACUUUGUUAAUGAAUCAAUAAUAAUUCUUAGCACCACUACUUACCUUUUAAGGUGUCACUCCACUAAAAAGUCCACUGGGGGACGCACUCUGCGAGUGAGCGCAUGCGUUAGACCAGGGGGGGAUCGACAGCGUCGUUCCUCCAGGCAGGAGCGUCCAUUAGAAAAUGACCCCCCCCCGUUGACCGUAUCAUUGCCGAGGAUUGGACUGGUCAGUAUGUGGCCCCCUGCCUUACACACUGUGACAUGUAUGUUGUGACAGGAAGUAAUUAUCUGAGAAUACGGUGCGAGCGUGUUCUCUUGCACCACGUCCAUCAUGUUGCUGUGCCAUAUUUCUACUACUAAAACUACAACAGCAUGAUGUCCACUUCCAUAAACAAUGGUCCCAUUUUGAGUCGAUUGGACAUACAGCAGGGUGUGCUUUAGGGCGGGGCCACCUUAUUAUGACUAUUAUCUUCCUAUAACAUUGAGCUUUUAGGUCAUGAAGGUCUUGUUAUGACCACUUUAGUGACUCUCAGCCGCUCCUCUAGAUGGCACCAAAUGCUACACACUGGUCCUUUAAGUACAACGUUUGGGACACUGUGGUACUUAGUAGUAUUCUGCUGACAAUCUCUACGUACAGAUAUUGUUUUCACAUUUAAAGCGCAUUUAAAAAAAUCUGCAGGCUUAGUAAGGAUGUUAAGUCUGCUUCAGAACUGGUGUAGCUGCAAGGUGGCAGGCAUGUAUUCUAGAAUGAUAACUUCCAAAUCUCUAGAAUAUAUAAAUAGCACAAAAAAAUCAAAUCUAAUUGAAGAGAGAACUUUCAAUACGUGUUUGUUACCCUUUGUCUUUCAAAUCUAGUGAUUUUGGUUGUUUGUUAUUCUCAGCUGAACGUGAAACAAAGCCAAUAACAAAUCAGGAGCAAAUAAUCAAGCAGUCUUCCAUAAAUAGACAUCUGGGGAAAAGUCCAACAGAACAGACCUCUUGGACAUCAAGCUUAGCUAACAAACUAAAUGGAGACGUGUCAGAAUAAAACCGCCAAGGUCAACAUGUCAUCCCGAGUCCUCUUUCUAACAUGCGGCAUUGAUUGAGCUCCUCUCAACAUCUGGAUGUGUGAAUUUGAGCCCAGACUCACACACCGGAUGCGUUUCUCUAGUGAGGAACAACCAGUCAGAGGACCACGUACGUUUCUACUUAUUAGAAGAAGUAUGCUUCUGAAUGCUCUGAAUAUUUCAAAUGUUAACCCUCUUUAUACUGCCUGCUAUGUUAAAGCUAUAAAUAGUAUGCAUAUGAUCAAACUUUUUUACUUGACAGGAAAAUACAUGAUUUUCAUUAAAAAAAGCUUUUGUCUAUGAAAUACCU
Long non-coding RNA from Gasterosteus aculeatus aculeatus (three-spined stickleback), 3129 nucleotides. The record is from Ensembl. Lineage: Eukaryota; Metazoa; Chordata; Actinopteri; Perciformes; Gasterosteidae.